Molecule: long non-coding RNA, 311 nt
Organism: Sardina pilchardus (European sardine)
Lineage: Eukaryota; Metazoa; Chordata; Actinopteri; Clupeiformes; Clupeidae
Exons: 5
Source: RefSeq, a predicted model, not a curated record
GUUGUAAUGCAGUUGGAUAUUAUUCUGUCUUUCAGGCUUUUCCCAUUUGAGACUGUGUGGCCAUCACUCUUUGCUGCUGUGGAGUCAUCAGUCUUUGCUGCCAAUCUCUGUUGCCACUCGGCUGUGUAGUCAUCAGUCUUUGCUGCCAAUCUCUGUUGCCACUCAGCCUUUCUCAUUGUGUGGGAACACCCGACUGUGUGGCCACUUGUGCUGUGAAUCGCCCCUGGCUCUCAGCCUUUCCGAUUGGAGGCUGUGAGGCUUACGUUUGACCUUGGGUCAGCUUUGGCGAACUGUUGGCACUUUGUGCUGUC